Arachis ipaensis is the source of this 477-nucleotide non-coding RNA. Lineage: Eukaryota; Viridiplantae; Streptophyta; Magnoliopsida; Fabales; Fabaceae. The record is from RefSeq and is a predicted model, not a curated record.
GAGGAAGAAGAGCCCCCAAACCUUAACCUCCUUUAAUCCGCCAUAACUCUUUCGUCCGGGCUCCGAUUGCCGCACCGUUCGCGGCCACGCGUCCAGCGCGUUGAGCUCUACAUUUCUAUCAAAUCAAUUUCACCGGUUCGAUUUAGCUUACAGAGCUUACUGGGUUUGAGUUGCUACGCGUGUGGGAGCGAUGCAGGUCGAGAGGCUCCUUGCUAGGUGUCUGGAUCCUGGAAAGCGAAGUAGUCCUUGGGUGUAUUUUGGCUUCUGGCUGUAUAUAUGUAUAUAUAUGUUUAGCUUACUCUCCAAGUAACCUAUGUAUGCUGCUCCUCUUAGAGGUUGAGGGAGAGAUAGGAAUUAUUUUUAUAUUAUAGUGUAUUUUGGGAUAUUUUGAGAGCACUUAUAUAUGUUUAGAUAUAUAUAUAUACACCCUCCGGCCAGCCUUAGCUUCGCAGGCUGAGUCAGGGGCUAGUUAUGCUG